Long non-coding RNA from Oncorhynchus nerka (sockeye salmon), 6877 nucleotides. RefSeq lists it as uncharacterized. The record is from RefSeq and is a predicted model, not a curated record. NCBI's taxonomy places the organism in Eukaryota, Metazoa, Chordata, Actinopteri, Salmoniformes, Salmonidae. The transcript has 4 exons.
AGCUGAGCUUGUCUUUUAGCUGGCUAGCCCGUACAUAGUUAGUUAACGUUAGGUAGUUAGCGGUUGAGCUAACUAGAGAAUCUUCUUGAAUCGUUUUGUUAACGAGCAACGUUUGAUGUCUUGUGAGAGCUUUCAUGUCAAAUAAUCUAAAUAGUUUGUUUUUGUUUACAUUCAGGCCAGCAGAUGAAACGUUAGUCUGUGCCUUCUCCCUACAGUUUUCAGCCAUUAACGUUAGUUUCGCCCACGACUGGCUCAUGUGAACUACAAUCCCGACGCUGUUUUAACGUUUAGAAACGUCAAUAAUCAUAGUUUGCAAUAUGGCAUUUGAAACAUAUGUCCCUUUGAUCAGCGAGAAAGACUCCUUCAAAUUAAAAAAAAAGACACACUUACUGUAGCAGUUAUACACAGAUCAAUGUCUGGCUGGCCCAAUCCCAUUUUCCAGCUGCUCCCCAGAGCACAUUUGCUCAUCACCCCAGGGCUGACAUUCUAGAGCAGACCGAUAAGGUUUGUGGAUACCAGGAGACCCUGAGAUGGUUCAUACCGCCUCCUCAGGCCCCGGGUCCAAGGCAGACGGAUUGUUGCCACCCACCUGCACCAGAACGACGGUGGGGACCCUCUCCUGCCCCAUCAUGGGGAGGGGCACAUCGUGAGGUGAAGCAACAGCCAGUUUUUCCCACGUGGGUCUUCCCUGAUUUUUGCAGAGGUACUGAGUAAUUUAUCCCUCACCGGGUUCCUAUUCCUCCAAGCGGGUCACGACAUAAGCUCUCCCAGGGCUCUGUGGCCUUGUUGGCUUGGCUGAGCUUAUGGCUUGUCUUUGUGACAGAUGUGAUGGUGUCCACCGUCACCGCCAUUGGGACGUUCCUGGGGGACCCAUGCGCUCGGGGUGCCAGAGGAGAGGCUGGCCCCAGCAGGUCAUCUGACACACCCUUCCUCUGCUUCUUCUCCCGGUCUCCUUCUUUGGGCUCUGGGACGUCUAGCGUCUCUAUGCGCAGCGCACGUACCUGGCAUCCUAAAUGUGGCAGCAGAUAUGCUCUUGAAGGAGGGCCCACCACCUUGAGACUGGAGCCAACAUCCCCAGGUGGUGCAGCACCUGUGGGACAAAUUCGGGAGGGCGCAAGUGGACCUGUUUGCCUCCUUGGACAAUGCACACUGCCACCUGUGGUACUCCAUGCCGGAGCCACCAGGUCCUGCUUGGAUGCUCUGGCUCACGAUUGGCCAGGGCUGGAGCUUACGCAUUCCCCCCUUUUCCCCUGAUCCAGGCUGUGCUGGACAGGAUCAGGAUGGCAGAGCAUUGUCUGCUGCUGGUGGCCCCAUACUGGCCCAGACAACCCUGGUUCAGCCUUCUCCUGUCCCUGUUGUCUGGGACACCUUGGCAACUUCCUUGAAACCGGACCUGCUGUCUCAGGUCAGGGGAACUCUGUGGCAUCCAAGGCCGCACCGCCUCAGUCUGUGGGCUUGGCCACUGGUCCAUGUUAGGACUACAGGAGGGUGUAAUGAACACCAUGCAGAGCGCAAGGGCGCUGGCUACAUCUGCUGCAUACCAGUUGCUCUGGCGGUUGUUCUGCUCUUAGUGUACUGGUAUUGAGGUUGUGCCCGAGUAAUGCUGGGUGCAGUAAUGUCCUCCAAUAUCUGUAGUCUCGCUUCGAUGAGGGUUUGGCAGCCUCUACCCUGAGAGGGUAUUUGGUCGCUAUAUCUGCCUGCCAUGUGGAGUGGAUGGAGAAGCCAUAGGGGCGCCAUCCCUUGGUCUCCGGGUUUAUGAAAGGGGUUCGUCCCGUGCGUCCAGCUAGGACCUGCUCAAUGGUGAGCUGGGAUCUGGAUGUGGUAUUGGCAGGUUUGACAAAGCCGCCUUUCGAACAGUUGGAGUCAGCCUCCCUGAAACACCUCUCUAUGAAGGUGGUUUUCUUGGUAGCGAUUACUUCCAUGAAGAGGGUGGGUGAGCUCCAUGCUCUUUCAGUAAGUGUUGAGUGCUACCGGAUGGACCCUGGGGGGAAGAGUAUAUCUCUCCGCCCCAACCCUCCAUUCCUCCCAAAGGUUCUGUCAGACAGACAUGUGAACAUCUCUUUUUAUCCUGUCUGCUUACGACCCCCGCCUCCCCGGCAGUGGCGGGGGGCUGGGCCUCCCUCCGGCAUGCUGUGCCUUGUGAGGGCACUGGCUGCCUAUGGGGAGCGGACACGGUCAGUGAGAACAACAGACCAGCUCUUUGUCUCACUGGAUCAUGGACACAAUUACGACAGCAUACUGCCUGGCUGGCAGGCCAGUUCUGGGAUCUGUGGUGGCACAUUCAACAUGAGAUGUGGCUGCGUCCUGGGCUCUACUGAGAGGAGUGCCCCUUGCUGAUAUCUGUGCUGCGGCCAGCUGGGCUUCCUCUUGCACCUUUGCAAGAUAUUGGGUAAAUGUGGAACCUCCCUCACUGAUAACUUGGAGACAAGUGUCCACGAUAGUAGGAUUGCCAGGUCAGUUUAGUAGUGAGCUUGUGCUAGAUGUGGCUAGUUAGCGUUAGCUAGCUAGCUAACCUAGCCAAUGAGGUGUGUGUGAAAGAAAUAGUCAAAUUAUGCAAGUUACUACCCUUAAUAACUUUCCCAAAUAAUAAUGUUUGAAAGAGUGUGAGUGUGUAUGCUAGAUUAAUAGAAAUGGUAGAUACUACUGUACCCUGAUAAUUUGGUCAGAUAACCGUGUGUCUGUGUAGAGUAGGUGACAUGUCCAUGAUAGCUAUCUAAUAACUAUAGUUAUGCUAGGUAAUGUUUUGGCUUAUCAUGUUCAUGUCUAUGUAGAAGAAGACUGUAGGAGGAAGUGGAGAGGACUCAGGGACAGGUAUCAGAGAGAGAGAAGGGCAGAGAAAGAGAAGAAGAAGUCUGGGUCAGCAGCUUCAGGCCAGCAGCCUUGGCGCUUCUGCCACAUUCUUUUCUGGAUCCAUUUAUUGUGCCUCGGGCAACGAGUGGCAAUUUUACAGCCAGACCCUCUACUACGUCAUCCACAAGUGUUGUCGCCACCGGUGCAUCAAGACCCUCAAUGUCAUCUACAAGGGCGACCAUCACCUCCACCGGUGGAGUGAGACCCUCUACAACAUCAUCCAUGAGUAUGACCACUACCGGUGCAGCCAUGGAAGAUGAUGAAAUGGAGGAAGCACCUCUGGAUCUAGGACCACCUGAGAUUAUUAUGAACCUCACGGAAGUGACCACUGAGGACCUCGUUGAACAGGAUGUGGCCGUGGAGAGAAACAGAGAAACGAAGAGGAACAACGUCACACCAGGCGUCAUCGGAGGUACCAGCCCCCAGAUCCACUCAACUCAUUUCAGCAGAGGCUCCUCCAAGCCGUCGAGCGGGAUGCAGCCCAACCUGAUGAUCACAGGAAGGAGACCCUCUUUGCCAUGAGCCUGGUGCAAACACUGAAGAGGCUGCCUCAGCAAAGAAAAGCAGCAGUCAAGGUUAAAAUGUAUCAGCUGCUUUUCAAAGCCUAGUUCAAUGAGAUGGAGUCAAUUUAACAGACAAGCUCACAGGAAGGACAGGAAGAGGAGAGGAGUUGCCGGGGCCGACCAGCUCACAGGAAGGACCGGAAGAGGAGUUGCCGGGGCCGACCAGCUCACAGGAAGGACAGGAAGAGGAGAGGAGUUGCCAGGGCCGACCAGCUCACAGGAAGAGGAGAGGAGUUGUCUGGUUGUUGUUUUGACCUCCCUCAUUGUACCUUUCUUUUCACACAGGUCAGUUCUGUUUAAAUUCAGUCAAUUCAUAGUCAUUUGUUUAUAAAGUCUUAGGAUAGCAUUCAUUAUUAGUGUUACAUAGAUUUCUGAAUUGAAACUCAUACAGAGUUUUCACAGAUGCUCUUGGUCUCUUACAAGACUAAAGGUCAAUAUAUUUCUUUCAUUUAAAACCACUUGAAAACCAGGGUGUUGAAACUUUUUGUGAAGUUAUGUUCCUUCGACUGGUCCGUGACGUCCAGGGGCCAUUUGUUUGUUUAGCUGUGUUAUGGCUACAUAUUAUUCCCUUUUUCUCAGAGACAGAGACACACACACCUCUUCGUACUUCAGAUCUCCAGUGCCCUGCCCCCUCUCUCUUUAUGGCCAUGUCUGAAGUUCCCCUACUACGUCUAGGAUUUAUGAGUAGUCCCUGUAUCGGUCUGCAGUUGUGCCAAAAAUACAUGCUCUUGCUGUUCUCUUACAGAUUACAGGCUAUACAUUCAUUUAAAAACAUCUUCUUUUUUUACACGCACACACACCUCUUUCAAUAGUUUUAUUUUUAAAACAUUUUUACAAUACACAUACCUGUCAUGUUCUUUCCUGUACUUGAAUACUUAUUAAAUUGUUUUUUCUUAGUCAGUUGUUUCAGUUGUUUAUUAAUAUCUAAUUUAGAUUUAAUCUGCUUAUUUCUUCCCUACACCUUUGCAGAUCUAAGACAAGAUGAAAGUAAAAACACGUUCUCUUCCUAAUUAGUUUUUUUUCCACCUGUAUUUUGUCAGACCAGUGAACAUGGUGGUAAACUGUACUAUUUGUAUGGACCCUAGGUUACCUUUUCCCUUUGUUAUCAUACUAACUGUAUGUCGUAUAACCUUAAUUAGUGCUCCCGCUCACCUGGUACACCAUGCCAGGUGUGUAUAAUACUGACUUUAAUGGGUGAGGAAAGGGGUUAAGGUGUGGUCUUUACUCCCAAAUUUCACUUAAAUAUAGCUUCCAAAUGAAGAGAGACAAUGAUACAUAAAGUAAUCUGGGGGAAAAAUGCAAUUUUAUGGACAACGGUGGAUGGUUCUUAAAAAAACCUUUGUGUUAUGGGGCUCUUAAAAGAGCCGUUUCACUCCACGGCAUACUGCCAUGGGACUUCACCUGCUGGCGAUGAGAAGUAGGUGGUCAGCUUCUCCCUCACCUGGAGUACCUGUCUGGGGGCGUUGUUGGCCCCUGCCCUGGUGACAUCAGGAAGGUGACCAUUUGGCGUGCCCAUCGCCAUCCGGAGCAGCUCCUGGAAUGACCUCCGCAGGUAGUUGUGGAGAACACAUGUGGCCUUCACGCAGGCAUUGAUAUUUGAGGGGCUGAGACCAAGCAUUCUCCGGUACAUUCUCCACUAGGCUGCCAGAAUCCCAAAGGUGCAUUCAACAACUAACCUUGCCCUGGACAGUCGUUUGUUAAAGAUCCUUACAAGCUUUGGCAAUGGCAACAGGCGUCCAGCGUAGGGCCUCAUGAGGUUGGGUCUCAAAGGGAAGGCCUCAUCGCCGACGAAGACGUGGGGAACAGGUCCCAGGUCUUCAGCCCCAGGGAGUGAUGCAGGUGGUGGAAUAUCCAGGGUGCCAUCCUGAAGUGCCUGGCCAGAGGCAGAGUCUCGGAGGGUCCCGCCAUCACUUCCCUUGCCGUAAGCACCAACAUCGACCACACGGAAACAGUAGAUGGCAUCUACUACAGCCAAGAGUACAACUGAAUAUGUACCCUGGUAGUUGUAGAAUUAAGAACCUGAGCACGAUGGAGCCAGGAUUACUACAUGUUUCCCUUCAAUGGAGCCAAGACAGUUGGGGAAAUUCCACCUCUCCAGGAACUCUGCAGCGAUGGCCCUCCAGUCUUCCUCCUCGGGGACAGGCAUGUAUUCACCAACCAGACAGUCCCAAAUGGCUUGUGCCACAGAGGGGACAAUGCCUGCCACCGUGGACUGUCCAACUCAGAAGCUGAAUCUUAUGGUCCUGUAGGAGUCCCCUGUCGCCAAGAAUCUAAAAUAUAAUUCAAAAUAAUGAUCAAUAUUGUGUAUAACUUGAAUUCCACCCACAUAUUAUAUCUACUCAUAUAGCUACCUCAUUACUGUUUAUUAUGCUUUACUAAUCAUAUUGUGAUACUCAUCAACCAUCAUUAACAAUGCCUUGAAACAGUACAAUUCAGUCUAUGACUAUAUCAAUAAACUGUAGUCCAGGCCAACUCUACUCUUAGAAAAAAUGGUACUAUCUACUUAAAAGGGUUCUAUGGCUGUCCCCAUAGGAGAUUCCUUUUAGGUUCCAGGUAAUACCCCUUUUGAUUCCAAGUAGAACCUUAUUGGGUUCCAUGUAUUACAUAUUAUACUUGGAACCAAAAAUGGUUAUUCUAUGGGGAAAGAAGGACACUUUUGGAACCUUUUUCUCUUAAGAGUGUAUGUGAGUCCAAUAAGAAUGUAAUGAAUGACUGUAACUGUCUUGAACAACAGUGGGUCCUGGAGAAGACUAGCCUACCUUCAUCAGGGCAGAAGGCACCUUUCUUUUCAUUUGGUAACAUUGCAUAAUUAAAAAAGGGUUAUAUGAUCGAACUGGCUUCGGUCCCGACGAAAGUAACUUCGGAAUUCCUGUCCAAACAGUCGAAGCCUCUCCAACGCAAUGCUGGAAGGAAAAUGCAGCGUUCCAUUGGAAAUGAAUGUACUUCUGGUGUGUCGAAACGCAAAUACAGUCGGUGUGUUCGAAGCGUGAGCGUUGGGGCUCUUAACAACACUCCCCUAUACAGAAGACUCUUUCGUCCAAUGACUUGUGUGUAAUGGUCAUGAGCAAGGGCUCUUGUUAGAUUAGCUAGCUAGGCAUUAAUGAUGAAUAAUCAUCAUGUGGACAAUGGCAGAUUUUUGUCCUAUUCUGAGAAUGGACUGCUCUGUUACCCACACCCUACUUUUUAGCUAGUAGUGUCGGAGACACAUUAACCUAUUAUUUGUUUAAUUUGCCCCAAAGCCUUGUUGAUAUAGCAAAUUUGAGCUAUUAACCCUUGCUUGUUGUUUUAUUUUAGUUGUUACUCCUCCCUACACUACAUGGGGAAAGACAAAUAUGAACAUGAAGAUCUCAUCAAAUAUGGAUGGCCUGAAGACAUUUGAAUGCCUAAGGGACUGACAAUUGAGGAUAUUCCCAAGGAAGUCUUGAUUGACUGUGUACAGCUUGUGAAAAACAACAGCAUCCAAG